UGGUACAAACACACAGACCCUUUCAAGUGA
Molecule: non-coding RNA, 30 nt
Filed under: Homo sapiens (human)
Lineage: Eukaryota; Metazoa; Chordata; Mammalia; Primates; Hominidae
Source: RNAcentral